This 305-nucleotide ribosomal RNA is filed under the name uncultured bacterium. RNAcentral describes it as "bacterial SSU rRNA". It matches the Rfam family "Bacterial small subunit ribosomal RNA", at positions 337 to 640 of the family's 1533-position model. The record is from RNAcentral.
UCCUACGGGGGCAGCAGUGAGGAAUAUUGGUCAAUGGGCGCAAGCCUGAACCAGCCAAGUCGCGUGAGGGAUGACGGUCCUAUGGAUUGUAAACCUCUUUUGUCGGGGAGCAAGGCCCGCCACGUGUGGCGGGAAGGAGAGUACCCGAAGAAAAAGCAUCGGCUAACUCCGUGCCAGCAGCCGCGGUAAUACGGAGGAUGCGAGCGUUAUCCGGAUUUAUUGGGUUUAAAGGGUGCGUAGGCGGGAUUCCAAGUCAGCGGUAAAAAUGCGGUUCUCAACGCCGUCGAGCCGUUGAAACUGGCGUU